GUACACGCUGUGACUAGCAUAUCAAUAAGCGGAGGAAAAGAAACUAACAAGGAUUCCCUUAGUAACGGCGAGUGAAGCGGGAAGAGCUCAAAUUUGAAAUCUUGAAAGGUCUACCUUGCACGAAUUGUAGUUUAAAGAAGUGUUUUCUGCUGACGAUCUGGUAAUAUAAGUUCCUUGGAAUAGGACAGUCACAGAGGGUGAGAAUCCCGUCUAUGAUUGCGAUUUGUAGCUUUGUGAUACACUUUCAAAGAGUCGGGUUGUUUGGGAAUGCAGCCCAAAACGGGAGGUAAAUUUCUUCUAAGGCUAAAUAUUGGCGAGAGACCGAUAGCGAACAAGUACCGUGAGGGAAAGAUGAAAAGAACUUUGAAAAGGGAGUUAAACAGUACGUGAAAUUGUCAAAAGGGAAGCGUUUGACACCAGUGUUGUUUUUCUGAAAAUCAAUUAAAGAACUGUUUAUGCUAAGCUGUUUAGACUUUAUCAGCUAUCUGUUUAGUUUUAGGCUUUUCUUUAAUGCACUUUUCAGUUAACAAGUCAACAUCAAUUUCUUUUGCUGUAAAAAAGCUUGAGGAAGGUGGCUUGAGAUUCGUCUUAAGUGUUUAUAGCCUCUUGCCUAUGCAGUCGGAGAGAUUGAGGUCUGCAGCGUAGAUCCUUCGGGGCUAAAUGCAUUUGUGCUAAGUUAUAGGCAUUUUAUAGACAACUUGUUGACUAUGAUUUGUCUUGUAGCUUACUCGCUUAUGUUAUUUUACCUACGCUUAGGAUGUUGACGCAUGAGAUAUACGC
RNAcentral lists this ribosomal RNA (780 nucleotides) under uncultured Neocallimastigales. Its description in RNAcentral is "partial large subunit ribosomal RNA". It matches the Rfam family "Eukaryotic large subunit ribosomal RNA", at positions 22 to 647 of the family's 3401-position model. Lineage: Eukaryota; Fungi; Neocallimastigomycota; Neocallimastigomycetes; Neocallimastigales. The record is from RNAcentral.